Long non-coding RNA from Leptopilina boulardi, 1579 nucleotides. RefSeq lists it as uncharacterized. The transcript has 4 exons. NCBI's taxonomy places the organism in Eukaryota, Metazoa, Arthropoda, Insecta, Hymenoptera, Figitidae. The record is from RefSeq and is a predicted model, not a curated record.
AUAAAUAAUUAGAAAAGUAAUUAUUAUUUUUAAAUAAUAGACGAUAAUUAUUAAAUUAAUAACUAUAAUAAGAAAAAGAAAUUAAUAACUAUUGAAAAAAUGAAAUUAAUAAUAUUUAAUAACAAUAAUAUAAAAAAAAAACAAAAAUUUUUUUCUAUUUUAAUGUCAGGGAAAUUGAAAAAAUUAUUCUUGUUAAUAUGAAAUAUUAGAUAGUAUUUAUUAUUAUUGUUAUUUUCAUGUGCUUGUUAUUUACUCAUUUGUUAAAAUGAGUUAAAAAAAAAAAAAAAAAAUUGUGCGCAUAAUAAUUUUGUAAUUAAAAAUUAGGAAUACGUAACAAAUAAGUUUUUAGAAAUUUUAUUAAGGCGUAAAAAUAUUUGCAAAUAAAAUUUGUAAUUGAAAUUUGCAAUUGAAAUUUGUAACUGAAAUUUGCAACUAAAAAAAUUUGCAAUUUAUAUUUGCAAUUAAAAAAAAAUGCAGAAGCGUAGAAUAUAUUUUUUUAUGGAUAGAUUCAUUUUGUUUUUAAAUUUAAAUCACAGAUGCGUAGAAAAAAAUUUUCCAAAAGUGUAUUUUUAUCCCCUCCUCUUACUUACUAUUGUAAAUAAAAAAAAAGUAAAUAAUAAGUAAUUUUUUUAAUAAUGGUUCACGCAUUUAUUUUUAUAUAUCAAAUUAAAGUGGAAAUUAAAAUCAAUAAAAGUAUUUUUUUUUUUUUUUUGAUAAUGAUAAUUAAUUUUCAUGAAAAGAAAAUUCUAUACAAAAAAUUAUCUACUGCAUUACAGAAAUAUUGGAAAAAAAAGAAAAUUAUUAGUAAUAAUAAAAAAAUAUGUUUUUUUUCUACAGGCUUCGAAUCGACUUUGACAAGAAAAGGCGUUUUACAAUCCCAGGCCUCGGAUCAACUUUAAGCAGAUUAACGAUUGGCCUUCACCUGAUUUUUGAACGCGCAACACACGCGCUCCUGACCCUAAAAAUCAAGAUUCACUUGCCAACUACUAAAAUAGAUGCUUUGAGAUUUCAAUAAAGAGAAAACAUUUCACGAAUGAUUUAACAAGAAAAAAAAAUGAAGACGACAACAGAAUUUACUGACCUUGUCCUUGCAAUCAACAUGAACGCGUCCAGAGUCAAGAAGAAGCUGAAGACGUUUUGCGUCGCCUCGAGCUGCUGCUAAAUGUAGCUCCACGUCCCACGGUGACUCUUUCUAUUAUAGAAAAAUUUUUUUAAGAUGAUUUGAACAGUUACUUUUAGAAAAAGGAUGUCGUCAACAAUAGAAAGAAGAAAAAAAUUGUUGAAAAAAAAAAAUAAUUACCUUCAUAGACAUGUCAAGGAAAAAUGCAAUAUCCAAUGUUCUUCUUGUUCUAUAGAACUUGUGUAUUUUUUUUUCUCAUUUACUAUUGAGAAUAAUUGAAACAUUAUAAGUGCAAUUCCAUCAUUUUUGCAUACGUGUCUGGGAUGUUCGAUUUACCGCCCGAACAUUAUAUAGUUAUAUACUCAACAUUGAAACCAUUUUCAGUAUCGAAUUUAUUUAUUUGCAUUUGAAAAAAUAAAUUUCUCCCACGCUGUAACCAUUGGAAAAAAAAGAGAGAGA